UACGGAGGGUGCGAGCGUUAAUCGGAAUUACUGGGCGUAAAGGGUGCGUAGGUGGUUUGUUACGUCUGCUGUGAAAACCUAGGGCUUAACCCUGGGCCUGCAGUGGAUACGGGCAGACUAGAGGUAGGUAGGGGAGAAUGGAAUUCCCGGUGUAGCGGUGAAAUGCGCAGAUAUCGGGAGGAACACCGGUGGCGAAGGCGGUUCUCUGGGCCUUACCUGACACUGAGGAGCGAAAGCGUGGGGAGCGAACAGG
RNAcentral lists this ribosomal RNA (253 nucleotides) under uncultured bacterium. RNAcentral's name for it is "partial 16S ribosomal RNA". It matches the Rfam family "Bacterial small subunit ribosomal RNA", at positions 524 to 776 of the family's 1533-position model. The record is from RNAcentral.